CCGGCGACCGGCGCACGGGUGAGUAACACGUAUGCAACCUGGCCGUCACAGGUGGAUAACCGGAAGAAAUUCCGACUAAUACAGCAUAACACUCCUGAGGGACAUCCUUCGGGAGUCAAAGGAGGCAACUCCGGUGACGGAUGGGCAUGCGGCGCAUUAGGUAGUUGGUAGGGUAACGGCCUACCAAGCCGACGAUGCGUAGGGGUUCUGAGAGGAAGGUCCCCCACAUUGGAACUGAGACACGGUCCAAACUCCUACGGAAGGCAGCAG
Molecule: ribosomal RNA, 270 nt
Filed under: uncultured bacterium
Lineage: Bacteria
Description: partial 16S ribosomal RNA
Rfam family: Bacterial small subunit ribosomal RNA
Source: RNAcentral